Molecule: non-coding RNA, 1702 nt
Organism: Solanum lycopersicum (tomato)
Lineage: Eukaryota; Viridiplantae; Streptophyta; Magnoliopsida; Solanales; Solanaceae
Source: RefSeq, a predicted model, not a curated record
AAUCAUUAUUCUUUCUCAAAUUUGAGCAAACAAUAUCGCGGCAAAAUUUUCCUCAUUUGUUUUCUUUUAUAGUUUUCCCCAAAUCUUUCACCCUCUUAUUUUCACACGACCUUUAGUUUUAUUUUUAAUUGAACGCCGACCAUUAAUUCUCUCAUUAGAUUCAGUGUUCAAGUCAUCGGAGCUUCAUGUUUGGUCUGAAGGAGUAAUGUCUUAUCCAAUUAAGAAUUAGGGCUUCAAACUUUGAAUGACAAAUUACAGUUCCUCACCCUUGUGAUUGGAUGUGUCGACAUAGUUUCAGCUUACAUCUCUUCUUCUGAAGAAAUUGCAGCACGGUAAAUUAGUUGUCUUUGUAGAAGUUACAGUUCUUUUAUAUCUCUUCGGGAUCAAUGUAUAGUCUGAUCAAGUGAUGUUGCAGUUUGACAUAACCCCUUAUCUAUUAAGCUAGCUUUCCUUUGAUUAGUAUAUUGGUGUGUUGUAGUUUUUAAUGUUAAUAAUAUUUGUGAAUGUAGUAACUCUUACUUGGCUCUUUUUUUCUUCAAAGGUGAUAUUGUUACCUGGACAAAUAACCACAUUCAUACAAUGAAAUGAUUAAAUUUUCUAGUAUACGUACUUGGUGCAUAUUAAUAGAUAUUGUGUGUUUCUAUGACUAGUCACGAUAUUGGUUCAGUUGAUUAUUUCAUGUACAUGCGUAUGUAUAACGUUAAUAAAGAUUCUGUCUUACAUCUGUCUAGUUACAGUGUUGGUUUACUUUGUUUAUUGUUGUACAUCUUGGGAAUUACAAUGUGGAAACUAUAAGGACAGAUAAACCUAAAGCGCUUAUUAGGUAUGCUUUUCGUGAUGCAAUCUUUAGUUGAUGGCACCUUCUGUUCAUGUUUAUCUCCAAUAUUCUGAUGUCUUUACUUAACACAAGUAGAAUUAAGACAAACUAUGAAAUCAGGGUAACAAACAACGCUUUGUCAGCAUUAUUUCAUGUUUCAAGUUAAUGUGGUUACUCUUCUUUACAUACUUGUGAGAGGACUAAUGCAUUCCCCUCUUCUACCUUGGUAAACCAUUCCUUGAUCGGAGUAUCUCUUUUUUAGGUUGUUUGUCGUUGAAGAAGGGUGAUUGUGAUGUCUUCUCCCUAUCCAUUUUUCUCAUUUUCCCCUUUUAUCCGAUUUUGUUCUGUGAUGGUUCUUUUUUUCUUGAACCCAAUAAUGUCAAUAUUUAUUGAAUGAAAAACUUCCUAUAUUUUAUCAGUUUUAAGGAAAUCACUACUAUUUGUGUAGAUAGAGAAGUUCUACUAUUUAUAGAUGAUCUUUGUACUCUAUUAUGUUGUAUAGGAUGUGACUUCAGAACUUCGUUUUGUGCAUUUCUCUUAUUUCUAUUUGGCAUUUUGCAGCAAAAAUUUUGAGGCUAGAAAAGCUUCAUUGCAGAUUACCCUUGGAUAAGGUGUUUAUAUACAUGCUUUUACUGAAUUUGGCCUUUUACUUCAGGACAAACCUACAGUGGGAUUGGAGGGAUUUUUUAUUUGUUUUCUUGCAUUAGUGUAUUGAUGGUAUUAUUUUUUUUAGGAAAGAGUGUUUUGUACUUUGGUAUUGUUUUCUUGAUAGGAAUUUGGAUUAUGCAUAUACUCAAUACUAAACUAAAGUUUGUUUAUUUGUUCUUCAGUAUAUGCAUGUCUGAUAAGUUUGGCUAUUUUUUAUAUUACAAACAGCUUAUAUUC